Molecule: non-coding RNA, 2577 nt
Organism: Sus scrofa (pig)
Lineage: Eukaryota; Metazoa; Chordata; Mammalia; Artiodactyla; Suidae
Source: RefSeq, a predicted model, not a curated record
UGUUUCCUAGUCUGACUCAUUUCUGCUGUGCCACACACGGAAGAUCCUUCUCUUAAUCUACAUUGGGUUAUUUCCAAUUUAGGGAUAUUUCGGAGGCGGAGCAAGAUGGCGGAGGAGUAAGAGGUGGCGCUCACCUUCUCCGACAAACACAUCAAAAAAAACACAUCUACAUGUAAAACAACUCUCACAGAACAUCAACUGAAUGCUGGCAGAAGAACUUAAACCUCCGAAAAGGUUAAGAAACUCUUUACAUAACUGAGUAGAACAAAAGAAAAAGAGAGAGAAAAGGAAUCAGGACAGGACUAGCAUUCCCGAGAGGGAGCUGUGAAGGAGAAAAGAAGCCACAUCCUGGGAAACUACCUAACUGACGGAAAGAUCAGCGGCGUUGGCGGGACCUCAAAGUCGUGGAGAAAAGCACAGCAGCAGGACUGAGAACAGCAAAGCAGAGUGAGAGCCACACAGAUCAUCUGAACCACCAGCCUGGACACCACAGCUUGAGACUCUGGCAGGGGCUGGGCGCUGAGACUCAGGCUUUGGAGGAACACACCCGCCCUGCUGCUACCACUGCCAGACGUUCCAGGCAGUACCUACACGCCUGGUCUCUGUCACUUCCCAGGAUCCUGCAGCUAGGAGCAGCCUGUACAGCAUCUUCUAUGUGGGCUAAGUGAGACAAGUUGCCUCAUGCAUGGUCUACAGGUGGCGGGGGCAAACCACCAAAGUUAUCACUGACUCUAGAGACGGUCAUGGCCUGCUCCCAAUAGGGUUCCCUGAACAGGCACCACCUGCGGUUCCAAGAACCUCAGAGGAGGGCACUGCAAUCAAACACAAGGUGGUGUUGUUCUCAAUCCCCUGGGAACCCUGCUGCUGCUACUGCCAAAUGCUCUGGUCACCUUGAAGAUCUGCCUAGAGCUUAUUACCACUUCCCAGGGCCCUGCAACUAGGAGUAGCCUGUACCACCUUCCUCCAGAUCCUUCCUGUUGGUGAGAGCCCAACGACCAGGCACUGACUGCUGGCCCUACCUAUUGCCUCCUUCUUCCUGAAAACACACUGAGCAUCCUGAGAAUAACAGCUUGCUCACACCAAAGAAAGAGAUAGCAAAUAUUCAAACUCCCACACCAAAAGUAAAUAGUAACCCCCUCCCCCCCCAAAAUACAAAGGAGUAUUCUUGCAUAGAAGUAGCCUUACAAGACUAGUUUGGCUUCCCCAAACUCACAGAAAAAGAAAAGCACAAGCAAGAUGACGAAUCACAGAAACGAUUCCCAGUUAAAGGAACAGGAGAAUUCACCUAAAGCAGUCAGCAAUGAAACAGACCUCUGCAGUCUGACAGACUUUGAGUUCAAAAGGGAGAUAGUGAAAAUACUGAAGGAAUUAAGACAGGAUAUGAACAGUAAUGCAGAUUCUCUCAGAAAGGAACUAGAAAAUAUAAGGAGGAGCCAAGAAAAACUAGAAAAUUCAGUUGCAAAGAUACAAACUGAGCUAAAGGCAAUAAAGAGCAGAAUAAAUAAUGCAGAGGAAUGAAUUAGUGAUAUGGAAGAUAGAAUAAUGGAAAUCAUCCAAUCAGGACAGUAGACAGAAAACCAAAUGAAAAAACAUGAAAGCAAUACAACUUAGGGAUAUUUCAAAUUAUGCUAUGAGUAGUGCCUACGUUCAACUUGUGGGCAUGUGUAUAUAUUAUUGUUGUGGUAUCAACAUCAUAUUUAGUUGAUACUUUUUUUGGGGCCAUGUCCAUGGCAUGUGAAAGUUCCCUGGCCAGGAAGUGAACCCUUGCCACAGCAGCAACUAAAGCUGAUCCUUAACCCUAUGUGCCACAAGGUAACUUCCAAGUUGAUACUCUGUUUGUCUUUGCUUUUUAGGGCCACACCUGCAGCACAUGGAAGUUCCCAGGCUAGGAGUCAAAUUGGAGCUGCAGCUGCUGGCCUACACCACAGCUACAGCAACCAGGAUCAAAACCAUGUCUGGCACCUACACCACAGCAUCACUGGAUCCUUAACCCACUGAGCAAGGCCAAGGAUCAAACCCUAUCCUCAAAGAUACUAGUCAGGUUCUUUACUGCUGAGCCACAACAGGAACUCCCCAAGUUGAUAAUCUUUAAAAAUGUAUGUUUCGGAGUUCCCGUCGUGGCGCAGUGGUUGGCAAAUCCGACUGGGAACCAUGAGGUUGCGGGUUCGGUCCCUGCCCUUGCUCAGUGGGUUAACGAUCCAGCGUUGCCCUGAGCUGUGGUGUAGGUUGCAGACGCGGCUCAGAUCCCGCGUUGCUGUGGCUCUGGCGUAGGCCGGUGGCUACAGCUCCCAUUGGACCCCUAGCCUGGGAACCUCCAUAUGCCCCGGGAGCGGCCCAAAGAAAUAGCAAAAAAAAAAAAAAAGACAAAAAAAAAUGUAUGUUUCCCUUAGCUGUAUGCACUUCUCAACCAAUACUGGAACUGUCACUCUAUUUUUAGUUUUAACUAUUCAGUGUGUAUAAUACAUAAUAUUGUGAUUUUAAUUUGCAUUUCCCAGGUUGCUAACGAUAUCAAGCAUCUUUUCAUGAAUCUGUCAUUCCUUUAUUUUCUUUAUUAAAGAACCUACCCAAACCUCUUCA